Molecule: long non-coding RNA, 680 nt
Filed under: Homo sapiens (human)
Lineage: Eukaryota; Metazoa; Chordata; Mammalia; Primates; Hominidae
Description: non-protein coding lnc-PALLD-1:3
Source: RNAcentral
GUCAUAUCAGUCGGGAUUCGAGCCCCGGUGACCAAUCGACCCGGUUUGUUCGGAACUGACAGGGUUGUCAAGACGCUGGGCUUUCCCUGGCAAACCAAGACGACCUGAUCACGUAGUUAGAACCCAGAGAAAGCAUUACUGGGCGUGAGCCGGUCGGGGCUCCGGUAUUUGCCCUUCGCCCAGGUUGCUGUAGAAAUGGACCUCUACCCGCCCAGAUGUUACCAUUCAUCGCGAAGGGUGUCGUGAAGAUGAAUGCCCUGUCGAACAUCAUCCAGCAGGAGGUCAAGGAAUUUUAACUGAAUGAUUGAAUAGUCUUGCAAGAUCUAUGAAACAAGCUUCGGCUGCUGUAGAGAAACAAAAAUGGGUUCCUGCAAUUCUAAAUAAGAUGUACUGGGUGCUCUGAGAGUUAAUAAGCUAAAAAAUUCAAUGUUUGUUACAAUUAUAGUGUAAACAGAAAGCAUUUCUGAUACAAUAUUAUUUUACUAGAUUCAGAAAAGUAUGAGCCAUGGUCCCUACCACUAAAAAAACUACAACCCAGAACUACAGGACUAAUACACAUGAAACACUAGGAGGUAUCCAAAAUCAUACUUAGUAAAAUGCAAAAUUAUAUUAACACAAGAGCUCCGAGAAAAUGGAGAUCAGUGAAGAAUGAAGGGGUGCAUGGAAAAGCUGGAUUUGAG